This 67-nucleotide transfer RNA is filed under the name Nycteribia allotopa. RNAcentral describes it as "tRNA-Asn". Lineage: Eukaryota; Metazoa; Arthropoda; Insecta; Diptera; Nycteribiidae. The record is from RNAcentral.
UUAAUUGAAACCAAAAUAGAGGUAAAUCAUUGUUAAUGAUUUCAUUGAAAAAUAAAUUCCAAUUAAA